This 319-nucleotide long non-coding RNA is filed under the name Numida meleagris (helmeted guineafowl). RNAcentral describes it as "lncRNA (ENSNMEG00000021221.1)". The record is from RNAcentral. Lineage: Eukaryota; Metazoa; Chordata; Aves; Galliformes; Numididae.
GCUGGGACUCAGCACUGCUUACUCCAGUUCAAAGCCACCUCUACUAGCAGUUAUCCUUCAGAGAAUCACAGUGAAGAAAACAGCAUAUCUCACAACAGCUCCUAACAACAGAGCCUGUGGGAGUCAUUCACCACUCAACAGCAACAGCAAGCAAGAGGACUUGAAAGAUUUUAUAAUGGAAGGAAACAGUUCUUUCAGUCUUAUCUUUGGCCAGUGAACAACAACGACCUAUAUUUAUGGCCUAUUUAUGGCCUAUUAACAUCUGCAAACAAGAAAAUUCAUGAUAUCAAGAAUUUUUAUGAGCUGCAUAUUUAUUCAA